Molecule: ribosomal RNA, 861 nt
Filed under: Triticum aestivum (bread wheat)
Lineage: Eukaryota; Viridiplantae; Streptophyta; Magnoliopsida; Poales; Poaceae
Description: partial small subunit ribosomal RNA
Source: RNAcentral
AUGGAUCCAAAUUCAAGUUAUUUGAUAAAAAUUGAAUUGUUUGGCAACAAAAAAAAAGCUCGAAAAGACAUCCGAUGUUUCUGUUUCAAGAAGAUCAUUGAUUGUGACUUGACAAACUAUAAGGAUUUCAUUGAAUCAAUUGUUGAGCAGUACUCUCCGUGUUAUUUGGAAGUUGCACAUGUGCAGUACUAUGAUGAUGCUCUAAAAAUCUGUCCAGAAGUAAAAUGUGACCAAGAUUUAAUGCUUAUGUUUGAUAAACACUCGGAGACAAAGGUGGUGCGUAUGAUCAUUGCAUAUUGUGAUCCGUCUGAACCGUAUGAGCCUAUCACCGAGUGGCAUAGUGAUGCGCAUAGCCAACCUAAUAAAAAUGUAGAACAAGAGGAUGAUACUUACCUUCGCAACCCAAUACCUGAGAAUGAGCAUGUUGGUGUUGACGAGGAGAAUAUGUAUGAAGUGGAUGAACCUAUUCCCUUAAAUGUGGUUCUUUGUCCUAAUAAAGAGAAGGACAAAGACUAUAUUUGUGAGGAUGAUAGUGAGGCUGAGAGUGAAGUAGAGGAUGAUGAAGUAGAGGAGGUUGAAGUAGAGGAGGAUGAGGAGUUGCAUGAGGCAGAGCAUACUCCACAUGUAGAGUAUGACAAAUUAGACCCUCCAAUGACAAAAGGCUUUACAUAUCCCAGCAUGAAAGAGUUCAAGUUGGCACUUUCUCAGCAUGCAAUCAAACAUGAAUUUGAGUAUAACACCGAGUAUAGUACCCGUCAUCGGUUUAGGGGCUAUUGUUCAAGACGGGAUGCAGAUAAUUGUCCCUGGAGGAUACAUGCUUCUACAACAGAAGAUAAGUGUACCGUGAUGGUAAUUGUUUAA